UCCCUUCGGGGAGUACAUCAGCGGCAGACGGGUGAGUAACACGUAGAUAACCUGCCCUCAAGACGGGGACAACCGGUGGAAACAGCGGCUAAUACCCGAUAUGCUCACAGGAUCGGGAGAUCGAGUGAGGAAAGCGCCCCUUCGGGGGAGAGUGUUUGAGGAGGGAUCUGCGGCCCAUCAGCUAGUUGGUGAGGUAACGGCUCACCAAGGCGAAGACGGGUAGGGGGUGUGAGAGCAUGGCCCCCCACAAUGGGACUGAGACACGGCCCAUACUCCUACGGGAGGCAGCAGCGGGGAAUAUUGCGCAAUGGACGGAAGUCAGACGCAGCGACGCCGCGUGGGUGAGGAAGGCCUUCGGGUUGUAAAGCCCUUUUCAGGGGAGCGAGAAAGGACGGUACCCUUGGAAUAAGCGUCGGCUAACUACGUGCCAGCAGCCGCGGUAAGACGUAGGACGCAAGCGUUAUCCGGAUUUACUGGGCGUAAAGCGCCUGUAGGCGGUCAAGUAAGUCGGAUGUGAAAGCCCCGUGCUCAACGCGGGGAAGCCAUUCGAUACUGCGUGACUAGAGAACGGCAGAGGGAAACGGAAUUUCUGGUGUAGCGGUAAAAUGCGCAGAGAUCAGAAAGAACACCGAUGGCGAAGGCAGUUUCCUAGGCCGCACCUGACGCUGAGGCUCGAAAGCGUGGGUAGCAAAACGGAUUAGAUACCCGUGUAGUCCACGCCGUAAACGAUCCCUGUUAGAUGUA
This 744-nucleotide ribosomal RNA is filed under the name uncultured organism. RNAcentral describes it as "bacterial SSU rRNA". It matches the Rfam family "Bacterial small subunit ribosomal RNA", at positions 75 to 824 of the family's 1533-position model. The record is from RNAcentral.